RNAcentral lists this ribosomal RNA (666 nucleotides) under uncultured bacterium. RNAcentral describes it as "bacterial SSU rRNA". It matches the Rfam family "Bacterial small subunit ribosomal RNA", at positions 108 to 788 of the family's 1533-position model. The record is from RNAcentral.
GAGUAACGCGUGGGCAACCUGCCCCAAAGCUCGGGAUAACACUCCGAAAGGAGUGCUAAUACCGGAUGUAGUUGCGGUACUGCAUGGUACUGCAAAAAAAGGAGAAAUCCACUUUGGGAUGGGCCCGCGUCUGAUUAGCUAGUUGGUGGGGUAACGGCCUACCAAGGCGACGAUCAGUAGCCGACCUGAGAGGGUGAUCGGCCACACUGGGACUGAGACACGGCCCAGACUCCUACGGGAGGCAGCAGUCGGGAAUAUUGGUCAAUGGGGGAAACCCUGAACCAGCAAUGCCGCGUGAGUGAUGAAGGUUUUCGGAUCGUAAAGCUCUGUCUUUGGGGACGAAUAAAUGACGGUACCCGAGGAGGAAGCCCCGGCUAACUACGUGCCAGCAGCCGCGGUAAUACGUAGGGGGCGAGCGUUGUCCGGAAUUACUGGGCGUAAAGGGCGAGUAGGCGGUUUAAUAAGUCAGAUGUGAAAUGCCAGGGCUCAACCCUGGAACUGCAUUUGAAACUAUUAGACUUGAGUGCAGGAGAGGAAAGUGGAAUUCCCAGUGUAGCGGUGAAAUGCGUAGAUAUUGGGAGGAACACCAGUGGCGAAGGCGACUUUCUGGACUGUAACUGACGCUGAGGCGCGAAAGCGUGGGGAGCAAACAGGAUUAGAUACCCU